This is a non-coding RNA of Daldinia eschscholtzii, 97 nucleotides long. The record is from the annotation of a GenBank genome assembly. NCBI's taxonomy places the organism in Eukaryota, Fungi, Ascomycota, Sordariomycetes, Xylariales, Hypoxylaceae.
UGCCCAUUGGCCCAGUGGUUAAGGCGUCUGACUGUUACUAUUGUUGACAAUAGACAAGAAAAUCAGAAGAUCCCUGGUUCGACCCCAGGAUGGGCAG